ACUCCUACGGGAGGCAGCAGUGGGGAAUAUUGCACAAUGGGCGAAAGCCUGAUGCAGCGACGCCGCGUGAGGGAUGACGGCCUUCGGGUUGUAAACCUCUUUCAGCAGGGACGAAGCGAAAGUGACGGUACCUGUAGAAGAAGGACCGGCCAACUACGUGCCAGCAGCCGCGGUAAUACGUAGGGUCCAAGCGUUGUCCGGAAUUAUUGGGCGUAAAGAGCUCGUAGGCGGUUUGUCACGUCGGCUGUGAAAUCCCGAGGCUCAACCUCGGGCCUGCAGUCGAUACGGGCUAACUAGAGUGUGGCAGGGGAGAUUGGAAUUCCUGGUGUAGCGGUGAAAUGCGCAGAUAUCAGGAGGAACACCGGUGGCGAAGGCGGAUCUCUGGGCCAUAACUGACGCUGAGGAGCGAAAGCGUGGGGAGCGAACAGGAUUAGAUACCCUGGUAGUCCACGCCGUAAACGUUGGGCGCUAGGUGUGGGGACCAUUCCACGGUUUCCGUGCCGCAGCUAACGCAUUAAGCGCCCCGCCUGGGGAGUACGGCCGCAAGGCUAAAACUCAAAGGAAUUGACGGGGGCCCGCACAAGCGGCGGAGUAUGUUGCUUAAUUCGAUGCAACGCGAAGAACCUUACCAAGGCUUGACAUGCAGGGAAAUCUCACAGAGAUGUGAGGUCCGUAAGGGUCCUGCACAGGUGGUGCAUGGUUGUCGUCAGCUCGUGUCGUGAGAUGUUGGGUUAAGUCCCGCAACGAGCGCAACCCUCGUUCUAUGUUGCCAGCGCGUUAUGGCGGGGACUCAUAGGAGACUGCCGGGGUCAACUCGGA
RNAcentral lists this ribosomal RNA (819 nucleotides) under uncultured Actinomycetes bacterium. Its description in RNAcentral is "bacterial SSU rRNA". It matches the Rfam family "Bacterial small subunit ribosomal RNA", at positions 335 to 1167 of the family's 1533-position model. Lineage: Bacteria; Bacillati; Actinomycetota; Actinomycetes. The record is from RNAcentral.